AGAGGUGGCAAGCGUUGUUCGGAAUUACUGGGCGUAAAGGGCGCGUAGGCGGCCAUCUAAGUCAGACGUGAAAUCCCCCGGCUCAACCUGGGAACUGCGUCUGAUACUGGACGGCUUGAGUUUGGGAGAGGGAUGUAGAAUUCCAGGUGUAGCGGUGAAAUGCGUAGAUAUCUGGAGGAAUACCGGUGGCGAAGGCGGCAUCCUGGACCAAUACUGACGCUGAGGCGCGAAAGCUAGGGGAGCAAACGGG
This 250-nucleotide ribosomal RNA is filed under the name uncultured bacterium. RNAcentral describes it as "partial 16S ribosomal RNA". It matches the Rfam family "Bacterial small subunit ribosomal RNA", at positions 527 to 776 of the family's 1533-position model. The record is from RNAcentral.